AAUUAAUUCUUUUUUUGUAUUGGUUUUAGAAUUCAUUUACUGACGUUUUUCUUAGACCUUGGGAUGCAUUAUGAGGUUUCUAAAUUGAAAUAUCUUAGAUUUUCAAAUGGAGGUAGCCCUUAGUAUAAACUGUCCUCAUACAACUGCUUUUGGUGGAUUAGUGGAGGGAUAUCAGAAGGGAUAGAAAAUGUACUGGGCAGUAAGAUUUGUCUAAAUAUGUUAUAUGCAUUUCUGUAUAAGUUACAAUGAACCCCAUUAUCUCAUAUAUAUAUGAUCCACAACCCUAGCCCUCGUGUUGAUAGUUCUCUAUUGUCCUUCUAUCCUGGUUUUAUAGAGUUAGUAGACAACUGAAUAUAAUAUUUGGCUGAUUUGCAGAGUAUAUAUAACACUGUGAUAUAAAAUAUUUCCAUUUUUAAUGUGUGCUUCUCUAGUUUUUUAAUCUAAUUUAUUUCAAAUCUGGAAAAUUAGGUGUCUCCUUAGAAUACUGAUUAGGCAAUCUUCAAAUAAUUCAUUAGUUGCUUAACUAUCUCUCAGAUUCUUCCUCAGAAUAGUGUUGGUCAUUCAUUUGGUGAUGCACAUCAAAGAGAAAAAGAUGGUAUAAAUGGACGUACAGAAGGUAAGAACCACUCAUUAUAAAAUCAUUGGAUAUAAUGCAUAUUUAAAACAUGAGCACUAGUAUGAUUUAAUAGUGGAAGAAAUGAAAAUAAUAAAUAGUAUGGGAGUUGAAAUAGUGUAUCUUAUCAAGUUGCAACCACAGGGUAAGUUGGAGUGGUCCUAGAGGAGCUGAGUUAUUAGGUCCAGACCUGCUGAAAUUAGAGGAAAUUUGGGACACAAGAAAGGGGAGAGAAGAAUUCAGAAAUGAAGAAUGAGAAAAGACUAUAGACAACAACAACCAAAA
RNAcentral lists this long non-coding RNA (898 nucleotides) under Marmota monax (woodchuck). The record is from RNAcentral. Lineage: Eukaryota; Metazoa; Chordata; Mammalia; Rodentia; Sciuridae.